Molecule: ribosomal RNA, 270 nt
Filed under: Triticum aestivum (bread wheat)
Lineage: Eukaryota; Viridiplantae; Streptophyta; Magnoliopsida; Poales; Poaceae
Description: partial small subunit ribosomal RNA
Source: RNAcentral
AUGGAGGGUAAGAGGAUGCUCACUAGCACUACCACUUUGAAGGUGAUCAUGUGCCUGCUCAUCCUGAGCCUCACCGUAAACUCGACCACCGCAGACUGCGGCUGCUGCAUAAGCUUAGCCGCAAAAGGAUGUUGUUCUACUUGUAUUUUUGCGGGUGGCUCUGACUUUGCCUGCAAGAACACUUGUUGUUUCCCCUGUAUUCUUGAAGAUUCUGUGGUUGCUAAGAUGGAUGAAAUGGGAGUGGCUUCGAAGAUGGAAGGACUGUACUAA